AACGAACGCUGGCGGCAUGCCUAACACAUGCAAGUCGAACGAGACCUUCGGGUCUAGUGGCGCACGGGUGCGUAACGCGUGGGAAUCUGCCCUUGGGUUCGGAAUAACAGUUAGAAAUGACUGCUAAUACCGGAUAAUGUCUUCGGACCAAAGAUUUAUCGCCCAGGGAUGAGCCCGCGUAGGAUUAGCUAGUUGGUGAGGUAAAGGCUCACCAAGGCGACGAUCCUUAGCUGGUCUGAGAGGAUGAUCAGCCACACUGGGACUGAGACACGGCCCAGACUCCUACGGAGGCAGCAGUGGGGAAUAUUGGACAAUGGGCGAAAGCCUGAUCCAGCAAUGCCGCGUGAGUGAUGAAGGCCUUAGGGUUGUAAAGCUCUUUACCCGGGUAUGAUAAUGACAGUACCGGGAGAAUAAGCCCGGCUAACUCCGUGCCAGCAGCCGCGGUAAU
RNAcentral lists this ribosomal RNA (448 nucleotides) under uncultured bacterium. RNAcentral's name for it is "bacterial SSU rRNA". It matches the Rfam family "Bacterial small subunit ribosomal RNA", at positions 29 to 524 of the family's 1533-position model. The record is from RNAcentral.